This is a long non-coding RNA of Dipodomys spectabilis (banner-tailed kangaroo rat), 1748 nucleotides long. RefSeq lists it as uncharacterized. The transcript is spliced from 3 exons. The record is from RefSeq and is a predicted model, not a curated record. NCBI's taxonomy places the organism in Eukaryota, Metazoa, Chordata, Mammalia, Rodentia, Heteromyidae.
AAAUGGCCUAAAAUAUACAGAAAACAUUAAAUCCCUUAAAAAAAACAAACAAACUCAGAGUAACUUCAUAAUACAUGAAGCCUCAAAAAUAUUUAAAGGGAAGUAGUGCUGUGUCUCAAGCGGUAGAGCGCUUGCCUUGAGCUGAAGAGUGCAGGGACAGCGCCCAAGCCCAGAAUUCAAGCCCCACGAUCGACCAAAAAAAACAACAAAAAAAAAAACCAGUUAAAAAAACUAUUUAAAGUUUUAUCACUUUGAGACUCAGUAGUCGCCACCUAGUUCUGAAUCUUCAAAAUAACCACAUCCUAAAUAUAUAGAAAUUGGUGCCUUUAUGGUUGGGAUGGUUACUUAAAGUUGUGGAAUUAUGGCAUAGAAUUAUCUAUAAGGUUUGAAAUCUGGCUAAAAUACAGUAGAUAUAUAUUUUGGAAUUAGGAGGUAUACAUUGCUAGUCUCUUGGUGAAUAUAUGAGUACUGGUGCCUUCAGAGAUUCCCUUUUGGAUUCCCUUUUGGUGGCGUAGGGGGUCUCUUUUAAGCACAAUGUAGACAAGGGUUGAACAACUCAUUGUUCAAAUAAUCACUGUGCUGAAUAUUGUAAAAUACCAUUAGUUUAGUCUUCAAGCAACAGCAAAAUUUGAACCUACUGAAGAACAUGGAUGCACAAGGCCCUAGAUUUAAUCCCCCAGCACCACAAAAACAAGGGAAACGAUGUUUCAGAUUUUAAUGUUAUAUAUUGCUGUCGUUGAGUAAAACAGAAAGUAAUCUAAAUAUAAUUAAGGCAUUUUAUUCUUUGCAUCAAGUAACUUUCCCUAUGGUCUUUAUACUCUUAAAAACAUAUUUUUUGCCUUAGGUUGAGGGUAUAGCUCACCUCAAUGCUAGGAGCAUGAAACCCUUGCUUUUGCCUCAGCACCAAAAAUACAAAACAAAAAUAAACUACUCUCUGGAUCAAGUAAUGAUAGGGGGUUAGUUUGUCCUCUGUCCAAGGAUAUUGAUCUCAAUUGAAGAUUUCUAAAAAAGCAUAUCAGACCCACAGUCCCAGGAAUUGACUGUAAGUUAUUGCUGCUUGUUUCUUCUGAUGGGAAUGCCAUUUAGUGGUGCUAGUAAAUUUUGAAUAAGACUACUAUGAGAGUUUGCUUUUAUGACAGAAUCAGGUUCAUGUUUAAAGCCAUCAGUCCUAUAUAUUCAGUUUAGGAAGCCACUCUUACAAAUGAGUCCUUUUUAGUUAGCCUGUGUUCUUCAGUCACUUUGGCUGUUUUUAAUUAUAUGUCACAAUAACAUUGGUUGACUUUGAUCACAUUUUAAUGAAAAUAUAUGCCAAAUUGAAGUAAAUGAGGCAAUUUGGCUUAGUGUUUUGGUGUUGUCUUGCCUCCUCAAAAACAGCUGCAGUAGCCAAUAACAGGUGACAGGAAGGUAAUGUUUAAGUAAGGUAAAAUGCAUCCCCACUUUCCUGCCCUCUUACAGUAUGUUUACAUUAUUUGGUUAUUGUACAAACUCAAAUAUCAUAUAAACAAUAUUACUAAACUGAAGGCAUAAGUUAAAGGCAGUAUCAUACUUUGGGCUCUUCUAAUUUUAUCUGUAUAUUAUUUAUUUGGAACUUCAUAUUGUUCUGGCUUCAGAACUGCUCUGAGGCAGCUUUUAGUUUGCAAACUUUUGAUUUCUCUCUUAAAUCCCUUUUAACAGUUUAAUAUUUAUCAUUUGCUGUGAGUUGACACAUUUUUAAUGUUGUGUGCCUCAAGAACUGUUUAUAUUAGGAA